GAUAAACGCUAGCGGCAGGCUUAACACAUGCAAGUCGAGGGGCAGCAUAGAUUGUAGCAAUACAAUUGGUGGCGACCGGCGCACGGGUGCGUAACGCGUAUGCAACCUACCCGUCACAGGGGGAUAAUCCGGAGAAAUCUGGUCUAAUACCCCAUAACAUAUGGAUCGGCAUCGGUUCAUGUUGAAAUUUUCGGAGGUGACGGAUGGGCAUGCGUAGCAUUAGCUUGUUGGUGAGGUAACGGCCCACCAAGGCGACGAUGCUUAGGGGGACUGAGAGGUUUUCCCCCCACACUGGUACUGAGACACGGACCAGACUCCUACGGGAGGCAGCAGUGAGGAAUAUUGGUCAAUGGGCGCAAGCCUGAACCAGCCAUGCCGCGUGCAGGAUGACGGCUCUAUGAGUUGUAAACUGCUUUUGUACGAGGGUAAAGUGGGUUACGUGUAACCUUUUGAAAGUAUCGUACGAAUAAGGAUCGGCUAACUCCGUGCCAGCCGCCGCUUAA
RNAcentral lists this ribosomal RNA (503 nucleotides) under uncultured bacterium. Its description in RNAcentral is "partial 16S ribosomal RNA". It matches the Rfam family "Bacterial small subunit ribosomal RNA", at positions 28 to 522 of the family's 1533-position model. The record is from RNAcentral.